GAUGAACGCUGGCGGCGUGCCUAAUACAUGCAAGUCGAGCGAACGGACGAGAAGCUUUGUUCUCUGAUGUAAGCGGCGGACGCGGGAGUAACACGUGUGUAACCUACCUAUAUGACUGGGAUAAAUUCGGGAAACCGUAGCUAAUACCGGAUAAUAGUUUGAACCGCAUGGUUCAAAAGUGAAAGACGGUCUUGCUUUCACUUAUACAUGGAUCCGCGCUGCAGUAGCUAGUUGGUAAGGUAACGGCUUACCAAAGCAACGAUGCAUAGCCGACCUGAGAGGGUGAUCGGCCACACUGGAACUGAGACACGGUCCAGACUCCUACGGGAGGCAGCAGUAGGGAAUCUUCCGCAAUGGGCGAAAGCCUGACGGAGCAACGCCGCGUGAGUGAUGAAGGUCUUCGGAUCGUAAAACUCUGUUAUUAGGGAAGAACAUAUGUGUAAGUAACUGUGCACAUCUUGACGGUACCUAAUCAGAAAGCCACGGCUAACUACGUG
RNAcentral lists this ribosomal RNA (497 nucleotides) under uncultured bacterium. RNAcentral describes it as "partial 16S ribosomal RNA". It matches the Rfam family "Bacterial small subunit ribosomal RNA", at positions 28 to 507 of the family's 1533-position model. The record is from RNAcentral.